Long non-coding RNA from Equus caballus (horse), 1554 nucleotides. NCBI's taxonomy places the organism in Eukaryota, Metazoa, Chordata, Mammalia, Perissodactyla, Equidae. The record is from Ensembl.
CUCGGUGUGAGUUUUUAAACAUUUAUUUUCUCUCCCCUUUCUUUGGGGGCACUCUCCCCUUUAGGAUCUGGCCUGGACUUAGGCUACGAGAACUUGUUGACAAGUGAAAGCUUGGUAGAACCGCGGCCCGGUUUGUGUGUUUGUUUAUUUUUUACAAAGUGACUUCAUAUUUACUCUGGACCUCGUCUGUGCCCUUUGGGGGGACAUCGGCUCUGAUCAGCGCGCCAGCAGCCGCCGUCCGAGCUGCGGGGAAACGGGGCGCGCCCUCUGGGGGGCGAGUGGCAGUGUCCGAGCUAAUUUCCUCCGUAACCUUUAAACUCUCGCUGGAAGCCGUGGCGGCGGUUGAUCACGUGAGGCGAGCCCUGGGCUGCUGGGGAAGAAUUUCCUCCGCGGGGAGCCGGGGACGGGGACGGCUGCCUGGCGAGGGACGGCCCCGCGCCAGGGGACGCGAACCUGCGCGGGCGGGGCCGAGAGCGCGGAGGCCCGGGGCGCGGCCCGGGCCGGACUCCCCGGGGGACUGCGCAGGAAGAGGUCGUCUCUGCAACCUGCGAGCGGGGGUUAGUGCAAAUGGAAAAAGAAAACCUCGGUCCUCACUCGUGUACCAAUCAAGGCAGGCAGUUUGUAGCGACCGUGGUUAAUAUAUUUAUAAUGCAAAUAGCCCUGGAAGGAGUAGUACCUGGACUCAUGUUGCUGUCUUUGAAGAUAUAAUGAAGUUCAAGAUCUUGAGAAGAGAUCAUUCUGGAUCACCCGGGUGGGCUAAAUCCAAAGACAAUACAAUGAAUAUACAGUGAAGCAGAUGGAGAUGGACACAGACACAGAGGAGAAGGCGAUGUAAAGACAGAGGCGAAGACUGGAGUGAUGAGGCCACAAGCCAAGGAAGCCAAAGAAUGUCGACAGCCCCCAGAAGCUGGAAGAGACUAGGAAAGGUUCUCCCCUGGAGCCUCCACAGAGAAUGAGGCAGCAGCAGAAUGCCUUUGGAGUCCCUGGAAAGGAGCAAUCAGCCCUCUGAUAAAAUGGGUCUGGGCUAACUGUUUUUGAAGAAAUGCCACUCUGAAUAUGAAAUGACACAGAGCUUUAACAUGGCUCACUGGAGACCUGAGCUGCUCAAUUGCCCUGGGACCACAGAUCACUUGGAAAUGAAAAGAUAAUGAGAGUAGUUGCCCACUUCGGGCUUUGGGACUUGUUUCAACCAAGGUCUGGUGACUAGUACAGAACAUGGACAGCAUCCAGAUUCUAAGUCCCUGCCUGACCAGUUACCAGCUCUGUGAUUCCAAGUGAAUCACUUAAUGGCUCUGAGCCUCAGUGUCCUCAUCCAGAUGAAAGAGGCGAGUCAUCUCUGCCACCUACUCACAGUGUUGAUCUCAGACAAGAGAAGGUAUGUGAAAGCACAUUGAAAACUCUAGAAGCUGGUGCAGAUUUAAAUAAUAUCAUGGUGAAAAUCCUUGCCCCACCAGGAUGUUAGCUGUCACCUCAUUGCUCAGCAUUUAGCACUGAUCAGAGAUCCUGAACUCCAACAGCUUGUAGUUUGAUGUAGAGACAACAACUCUUUAUACC